AUCCAUCUGACGCGUCGCAAAUAAGACGAAACGCGUGUUCUAGGU
Molecule: non-coding RNA, 45 nt
Organism: Schistosoma mattheei
Lineage: Eukaryota; Metazoa; Platyhelminthes; Trematoda; Strigeidida; Schistosomatidae
Source: Rfam